This 102-nucleotide signal recognition particle RNA is filed under the name pig gut metagenome. RNAcentral's name for it is "Bacteroidales small SRP". It matches the Rfam family "Bacteroidales small SRP". From Rfam's summary of the family: The non-coding component of the signal recognition particle in Bacteroides The record is from RNAcentral.
AGUUGGGUAAGUCAUACACGACCAGCUCCCUCCGAAUUCCCCCAGGGCUUGACCGCAGCAAGGGUAGGAGGUCGUAGCGGUGCGAUGUAUCAAGCUUACCCU